GCGGGAAUAGCUCAGUGGUAGAGCCUCACGUUGCCAACGUGAUUGUCGCGGGUUCAAGUCCCGUUUCCCGCUCCA
RNAcentral lists this transfer RNA (75 nucleotides) under Desulfatiglans sp. RNAcentral's name for it is "tRNA-Gly". It matches the Rfam family "tRNA". From Rfam's summary of the family: Transfer RNA (tRNA) molecules are approximately 80 nucleotides in length. Their secondary structure includes four short double-helical elements and three loops (D, anti-codon, and T loops). The record is from RNAcentral. RNAcentral also lists the same sequence under 6 other names. Lineage: Bacteria; Pseudomonadati; Thermodesulfobacteriota; Desulfobacteria; Desulfatiglandales; Desulfatiglandaceae.